CGUAGACCGGCAUGUUGCGUAAGGAUAAUCAACCACAGAGGGCGAGAAGUUCGUCCUUAUCCUCAAAAGGCUAAAAGAGGAGAUAGUGCUUCUGAUAAUUCAGAAGGGCGUCGUGAAACACAUUUUGUGGCUCGUCUGUAACUCCCGGAGGUGAGAACACCUCUUUGUACACGGGGCGAUAUAGGAGUCUAGAAGACUGGCGUGUACCUACA
This 212-nucleotide non-coding RNA is filed under the name unclassified sequences. RNAcentral describes it as "Clostridiales-3 RNA". It matches the Rfam family "Clostridiales-3 RNA", at positions 57 to 264 of the family's 264-position model. The record is from Rfam by way of RNAcentral.